UAGGGAGUAUUGGUAAUGUGCGAAAGCGCGAACCAGCAACGCCGCGUGCACGAUGAAGGCCUUCGGGUCGUAAAGUGCUUUUAGAGAGGAUGAGGAAGGACAGUACUUUCUGAAUAAGCCUCGGCUAACUACGUGCCAGCAGCCGCGGUAAAACGUAGGAGGCUAGCGUUAUCCGGAUUUACUGGGCGUAAAGCGCAUGCAGGUGGUUUUGUAAGUUGGAUGUGAAAGCUCCUGGCUUAACUGGGAGAGGUCGUUCAAAACUACAAGACUUGAGAUUGGUAGAGGAAAAUGGAAUUCCGGGUGUAGUGGUGAAAUGCGUAGAUAUCCGGAGGAACACCAGUGGCGAAAGCGGUUUUCUGGACCAAUUCUGACACUCAGAUGCGAAAGCUAAGGUAGCAAACG
RNAcentral lists this ribosomal RNA (402 nucleotides) under uncultured bacterium. RNAcentral describes it as "bacterial SSU rRNA". It matches the Rfam family "Bacterial small subunit ribosomal RNA", at positions 355 to 774 of the family's 1533-position model. The record is from RNAcentral.